UUUCCGAUGUUUUUAUUGAUACCGAUGUUAAGCGAUGCAUCGAUGUUUGACAGAACAUCGGGCGUUAAAUUUCACAACAUUGCAGAACAUAUGGAUACACUGCCACAUAGAAAAAUUCGCGAAUUUGUUUUAUUUUUUUACCCUGUGUUUGCAAUGCCAAAAAUAACAACAAAGACAAGCUUUUGCUGGAGGCACUUUACAAAAAUUGAUGGAAAUAGCGCAAAAUGCAACAUUUGCAACAAAGUUUUGAAGACUGCGGGUAACACGACCAACAUGAAGGACCACCUGCGGUCCAUUCAUAAAAUAGAACAAAAUGUUGAAGAAA
Drosophila mojavensis is the source of this 325-nucleotide long non-coding RNA. RefSeq lists it as uncharacterized. Lineage: Eukaryota; Metazoa; Arthropoda; Insecta; Diptera; Drosophilidae. The record is from RefSeq and is a predicted model, not a curated record. The transcript has 2 exons.